Molecule: ribosomal RNA, 933 nt
Filed under: Triticum aestivum (bread wheat)
Lineage: Eukaryota; Viridiplantae; Streptophyta; Magnoliopsida; Poales; Poaceae
Description: partial small subunit ribosomal RNA
Source: RNAcentral
AUGGCCACGCCACAGGAUUCAGAUUCAGCACCGGGUUUGUCAGAUAGGGUCUCAUCAGCAAAUCACAACGGCAAACCCUUCAACUGGAAGGCUCCUGCUAUUAUCUUGGCGUUUGAGUUCUUGGAGAGCAUUGCCUACGCUGGUAUUGCCCUCAACUUGGUAGUAUAUCUUGGGAAGGUCCUUCACGGAACUACCGCUUCAAAUGCUGCAAAUGUCGAUACAUGGAACGGCACCACGUUCCUUACGCCCGUCCUUGGAGCGUUUCUUGCUGAUACAUACUGGGGGAAGUACAAGACCGUCGCCAUCUCCAUAAUAUUCUAUCUUACUGGGUUGCUCAUCAUUACUGCUUCGGCGAUCAUUCCAUCUUUACAACCCGCCGCAUGUGAAGGAACUUCAUGCCCUCCUGCCACAGGGUUUCAGAAUUUUGUCUUCUUUACUGCACUAUACCUUGUCUCGGUUGGGACUGGAGGGGUUAAAUCAGCUUUGCUCCCCCUUGGAGCUGAUCAGUAUGAUGAUUCAAACCUUGAGCAGAGUAAAAAGAAGCAGGCUUUCUUUAGCUGGUUCUUCAUUGCCAUUAACCUUGGCGUCUUCAUCUCGGGGACAGUUGUUGUAUGGAUACAGCAAAAUGUUGCUUGGUCACUUGGAUUCGGCAUCUCAUCGAUAUGCCUCAUUAUCGCCACAGUUGCCUUCUUGGCAGGAACACCAAUCUACAGGGUUCAACUUCCUACUGGAAGCCCACUUAAAAGUCUUGUAGCGGUGUUUGUUGCGUCAUUUAAAAAGAGAAAAGUGGAGGUUCCUGCUGAUAGCUCAAUAUUGUUUGAUGGAAAUGAUGCCGACUUAACCAAUGAAGCACCAAACAAAUUGGCACAUACUGAAGGAUUCAGGUGCUUAGAUAAGGCUGCUGUAGUCUUAGGGGACCAAGAGAUAAAGUGA